This is a long non-coding RNA of Orcinus orca (killer whale), 5620 nucleotides long. RefSeq lists it as uncharacterized. The record is from RefSeq and is a predicted model, not a curated record. The transcript has 3 exons. NCBI's taxonomy places the organism in Eukaryota, Metazoa, Chordata, Mammalia, Artiodactyla, Delphinidae.
CACCGCCGAGUUCAGUCCUCUUGAACUUUGCUGCCCCUGAGAAAUCGCAGUAGGAGAACGAUUAUAAGGAGAACUGUAGUUAAACUUAACCGAGCGUUUAUACCGUGCUGGACAUGGUUCUAACUCAGUGCUGUGGCGAGACACAUUGUCCCAGAACUUAUAGUUUAGAUUGUAAUGCCUGGAAUCAAUGGUGGAAUGCUUUGGUUUGAAACUGUUUGUACUGAAACUGCUUUUAUUGCUAAUAGCGUGACUUAGCCUCUGGGAAAAUUGGGCUUUGCUUGCCAAGCAUAUUGUGAACAGGAAAGUUCUGAGUUCCAGGUGGCCGACCCGAGAUAUUAAGAUUAGCACGAACAUCCUGUUUACCCUGGGGUAUAAAACAGCACCUGUGUGAAGGCUCGGGGUCUCACCCUUCUUUUGGGAGAGGCCCCGAUCGAUCGGUUUGUGUUUCUGUGCUUAAUAAACGCCUAUUACUAAUAUAAUUUUGAUCUACACUGGCUCUUGGUGUUCUUCCUUGGUGCUGGUUCCUCUCCGGGGGAGUUCGCAGGUGUGUGCGGGACCGCAACAGUGCCCCAUGUCAGCCCCGCACGCGGCGUAUACUCUAGUUGAAUUCCCCUUUUCUUCAGCGAGGUAAGGCGCCUGGCGCCUUGGAAAGUCCCCAAGAAACGCUGAGAAACUAGCGGUCAGCGGCCGAGAACUUCGGGGUUGGAGGAAGGAACGGUGCUGCAGCCUACUGGACACCCACUGGGUGCAAAUUCGCGUUGUGUCAGGAAAACGGCGGCCUGUUUCGCUCCUAGCGAAAACGCCAACGGAGCGCCAGACGGGCGCGAAUCACGGUGCCGCGACGCUGAACCGGCUGGCCACGAACGGAGCGGUGCUAGGACCGAGAAGGCGACAGCAUAGGACCCAGGCCCACGCGAGGGAGAAGAGUUCCCUUUGGUGCCUUGAGGGUGGCGGCCAAAGUGAAAGCGCCCGCUCGGCGCUGCUGGCGAAAGUGCGGCUGAGAAAACGCGGACUGGGCGUCAGGAGCCGGGCCCCGCGCAGCACCCGCGGCGAGCGGAACUGGGCGCUAGCGCGGCCGAGACCCAGCGGCUCUCCUCCGCUCCCGGGUGCAGGCGGCCCAGGGAGCUGCCGCUGAGCGCAGACACACUCAGGAACUCGGUAGAAAACUACAUGUAAAUUAAAAUACUACAAAUGCAUAAGAAAUCCUAAAAUGAAGAUACAUGUGAAAACAAAACAACACAGCAAAACACCAGAAAAGAAUUUUUACAAGCCAAUCGUUCAGAGAAACUAGCCCUACGAGAAACAAACAGCAAAACACCGUUGAAAGGGGCAGUCCUAGGAUUAGAUGAUCGCUGUCACUCUCGCUAAAUCGGUGUUUGCCACGCUCCAAAGCGCAUUCCCAGGCACACUCCGACUAGCAUGAGUGAAAUGUGCAGCAUAGCUAAUGCGGAACUCGCUGUUUGAAAAUGGCUCAAAGCAAUUGCGUUGCUGCCAGCCACCCGCUGCGAGGCAUGGGGAAGGCCGCGGGGCUGCGACCCUGAGAAAGCUCCGGCUGCACUCUAGUGGAAACUACUUCUGAGAAAACGCCGGCCUAGUGCACUUGCCGGGACCGCGACCGACCAAACACUGACACAGAGCGCCUAAGGGUGCCGGGGCCCAGCAAGGGAGGCACAGCGCAGAUAGCGGCGUUGUGGCCAAAGUCAAAGGUCCGUUUUGGCGCUUUCGAGGGUGCUGCCACCUAGAAACUGCGGACACUGAGAACUGAGCCGUGCUCACACCGAGAAAGAUGGGAGUUGCAGGUGAUAAGAUGAGGUGAAUGAAGUGGGGUGAAAUGAAAUAAAAUAGAAACCAGGUUUGAAACCCCCCCCCAACAAACAAAACCGAAUAAGCCACGUAAACAAAACUAAAUCGAGUUUAUUUCAAAACAUAAGGGUAAUUUAACUCAAGCUAUUUCUUGUAAAUACCUUUGAAAAUCAUUUAAAAACCAAAACAAAAAACCCUUGUCUUCCUGUAACGGAAUAAGAUAAUCACUUUAACCAAUCCCCUGACCUCUGGAAACCUCCAUUGUAUUUAAUAGCCAAUCAUUGUAAAGGUCAAACAACUUCCUCUUGUUUAUUUUAUAAGCUUCCCGGAGAUGUCAAGCCUUAGAGCUUCAUACGAGUUUUCAGUUUGAAAUCUUCAUUUUUGCGAACAGUUUGUUUCUUCCUCAAUAUCCAGUAAAACUCUGAGUUUUCUUUUAGUUAUUGUCGUUAAAAGUAGGAUGGAAAGACGACCCAUUAAGAAUCCGGAGGCUGGAGGUGGGUCAAAAAGGAUCUUGCUGUGAAAACUACAAAUAGAACUACCAUAUGACCCAGCAAUCCCACUACUGGGCGUAUACCCUGAGAAAACCAUAAUUCAAAAAGAGUCAUGUACCACAAUGUUCAUUGCAGCUCUAUUUACAAUAGCCAGGAGAUGGAAACAACCUAAGUGUCCAUCAUCGGAUGAAUGGAUAAAGAAGAUGUGGCACAUAUAUACAAUGGAAUAUUACUCACCCAUAAAAAGAAACGAAAUUGAGCUAAUUGUAAUGAGGUGGAUGGACCUAGAGUCUGUCAUACAGAGUGAAGUAAGUCAGAAAGAGAAAGACAAAUACCAUAUGCUAAACCAUAUAUAUGGAAUUUAAGAAAAAAAAUGUCACAAAGAACCUAGGGGUAAGACAGGAAUAGACACAGACCUACUAGAGAAUGGACUUGAGGAUAUGAGGAGGGGGAAGGGUAAGCUGUGACAAAGUGAGAGAGUGGCAUGGACAUAUAUACACUACCAAACGUAAAAUAGAUAGCUAGUGGGAAGCAGCCGCAUAGCACAGGGAGAUCAGCUCCGUGCUCUGUGACCACCCAGAGGGGUGGGAUAGGGAGGGUGGGAGGGAGGGAGAUACAAGAGGGAAGAUAUAUAGGAACAUAUGUAUAUGUAUAACUGAUUCACUUUGCUAUACAGCAGAAACUAACACACCAUUGUAAAGCAAUUAUACUCCAAUAAAGAUGUUAAAAAAAAAAACAAAAACCUUUUGGUGUCUUUGACAAAUUUCCUCAAAUCAAAUUCUAAAUGUUCUUUUGACCUCUAGUUAACUUCGGAAUGUUUCAGAGGGUCCCUGAACACCUCAAAGAGAGAUAUUAAAUUAAUUAGCCUUUUUUGGUAUGUUAAAUUACAUGGGAAAUAUUGUCAAAUAAGUAAUGAUAAACCUUCUUAGAAGGUUCUAAUGUUCUAGAAAUUAUAUGAACUCCCUAAAAUUUGAAAUGUUGUGGUAUGUUCUCAGUCAUAUUUCUAGUUAUUAUUUUAAAGUGUUGUAUGUCACAGAAAUAGCCAAAUUUCCUUAACAACUGCAUUGUAAUCAGGUCUUUAACCAUGUUUUUUAAGUGUUUUGUCAUUUAUAGAGUUGUCUUACUUUGAUGCUUUUACAAAAAUGUUUGUAGAUGACUUGCUUUUAUGCUCUGAAACUAAAUUUGAUUCCGUAGCAAAAGGACUUCCACCUUGUAUGGGGGCUAUUUCACUCUUACAUAAGACUAUUGAAGAAAUAGCAAUGGGGGUGUUCUUUAUUUAUGCUCCACACUCAGUUGAGUCCUUCUAAACUCUCACCACACUCAGCACUUCUGUAAACCGACUAGUUUCUUAUGAAGUAUUGUUGCUUUCUGUAAUAACCUUAAGCCUGCAACUUUGCUUCCAGAACUACAGGAAGAAGACAAUCACGACUGCAUUUAUUAACAGAUUAUCUUCUUGUUCCUGGGAAUGACAAGAAGCUCCUAUUGAUAAGGCUAAUCUAAUUUGAUUUACAGAUGGGUUCUACUUAAAGGAUAAGCAGGGGCAUUAUAGAGUUGGAUAUGCAAUAACAUUCACAGUGAACAUAAGUGAAAGCUCUUAUUUACCAGAAAAAGUCAGCACAACAAGCUGAAUUAAUUGCCCUAACCUUAGCUUUUCAACUUGCUAAAGACCAGCUAGCAAAUAUUUAUACUGACAGUUGCAAUGCCUUCUGGAGUGGCACACAACUUUGGAAUGCUAUGGGAACAAUGAGGUUUUUAACCUCUUCAGGACAACCUAAAAAAUGAAAAACAGAUUGCAAUUAUUAACUGCUAUACAACUGCCAAAAAACCAGUUAGCAAUUAUUGACACCAGGACAUUCCAAACCGACACUAUGGAAGCUAAAGGAAAUCAGCUUGCUGAUGCUGCAGCCAAACACGCAGCUUUAAAUACUCACGCCAUAAAGCCUUGAAAUUUUCUGUCCACUGCUCUCUGUUAACCGUGCUAAUCCAGUAAAAGAUGUCAUCUAUAAGCUCAAGAAAUUGCUACUAAAGAAGACAAACAGAUACGGUAACAAAAACGGGGAAUUUUGACCCCACCACACAAAUAUGGUUUGGACCUAAUUUUUUUUAAAGAAAAAGCUGUAAGCGUCUGUUGGAGCACGAUUGUCUAUCAGCCUUUGCCAGGCAUUCUACUAGCAUAACUCCUAAAAAGGAAAGAAAGAACUGGGGUAAUAAGACUGAGGGACAUGAUGGAUCCAGAGCAAAUAAGCAAAGACCCUGUUAUUGGGGGAACAAAUAUUUGAUCACCUAAUGCUAUCUAAAGAUUAAUGAUCAAAAGGGGAAAGUGAAAAAGGAAAUUAUAUUUUAAGACAGGUAAAGAAAAGUUAAGCAUAAAAUUCUCUCUUCUCUCUUCACUUGAGCCUCCUCCCUCCCUAAUGCAUCUGCAUCACAUAUUAACCAGACCUCCUCAAAGAUGGGAAUGCCUGCUGCUCCACAGCAAAAUUUGUUCCUUUCUUCCGAUGCUAGCAAUGUGACUUCUUAAAGAUUAGCAUUCUUUCCAACUCUGUAGGUGGUCAUUGAGACUUACUGCUCAAUUCGUUUGUGUUUACCUAGACUGUGUAUCUUUGGUAGACUUUAUGUAAAACGUCAGUAUGUCAUUUUGAUGAAGGAUCCUUGGUUUCAAAAAUGUAAAUGACUGUGUCUUUGCUAACAGUAGGACCAGUUAUCAGAGCUUCAGACAGCCUGUCUCCCACGUUAUGAUCCUCAGUUUGACUCAAAUAAAAUUGCCUUUUUUCUUCUUAACUUAAUUGUUAACUGAAUUUUCAUCAACAAUUGUAAUUAUUGUGGCCACUUCGGGGAACUUUUACAUGAGACCACUUUCAGGGUUCCCAGAAAAACAGAGAGAAUCCCAAAAACUCUGGAGGCAAUAGAAUUCAUUCUUUCAUUUGUAUGCAGAAGCUACUAAAAGACAAAAUGAUUCCAUAAAUAGCUUCACUAAAAGAAUCUUUAUAAUGGAAAAAAAAAACAUUAGUAGAAAGCUUUAGCCAUCUAAACGGGUAACAUCAACUUAAUGCAUCUCCCAGCAUCACAGUUUUGAAUCAGCUAAUCUUUUGAGUUUUGUAUUAUUGCACCUGACACAUAGUUAAAAAUUUAAAAUAAAAUCUACAAUAUCUACAAAUCUACAAUCUGUGUAUGUCUAUUUGUGUAAAUCUGUUACUGUGUAUCUAAAGGUUUAUGUAUAUGUAAGUAUGUAUGUUAUGUAUGUGUGAUAUGUUUAAAGAUCUCUAAUUGGCAAAAGAAAAAUAAGUAAUUAUAUAAAUUAUGUCAUGAACUCUCAGAAUUAUAGAAAC